Molecule: transfer RNA, 74 nt
Filed under: Kitasatospora misakiensis
Lineage: Bacteria; Bacillati; Actinomycetota; Actinomycetes; Kitasatosporales; Streptomycetaceae
Also listed under: 30 other names
Description: tRNA-Gln
Rfam family: tRNA
About the family: Transfer RNA (tRNA) molecules are approximately 80 nucleotides in length. Their secondary structure includes four short double-helical elements and three loops (D, anti-codon, and T loops).
Source: RNAcentral
UCCCGGAUCGUCUAAGGGCAGGACAGCUGGUUUUGGUCCAGCUUAUGGGGGUUCGAAUCCUCCUCCGGGAGCCA